AGUUGCGAAGGCGGCUCUCUGGACUGUAACUGACGCUGAGGCACGAAAGCGUGGGGAGCAAACAGGAUUAGAUACCCUGGUAGUCCACGCUGUAAACGAUGAGUACUAGGUGUCGGGGGUUACCCCCCUCGGUGCCGCAGCUAACGCAUUAAGUACUCCGCCUGGGAAGUACGCUCGCAAGAGGGAAACUCAAAGGAAUUGACGGGGACCCGCACAAGUAGCGGAGCAUGUGGUUUAAUUCGAAGCAACGCGAAGAACCUUACCUAAGCUUGACAUCCCAAUGACAUCUCCUUAAUCGGAGAGUUCCCUUC
RNAcentral lists this ribosomal RNA (311 nucleotides) under Clostridioides difficile. Its description in RNAcentral is "bacterial SSU rRNA". It matches the Rfam family "Bacterial small subunit ribosomal RNA", at positions 711 to 1021 of the family's 1533-position model. Lineage: Bacteria; Bacillati; Bacillota; Clostridia; Peptostreptococcales; Peptostreptococcaceae. The record is from RNAcentral.